Molecule: ribosomal RNA, 87 nt
Filed under: Geotrichum candidum
Lineage: Eukaryota; Fungi; Ascomycota; Dipodascomycetes; Dipodascales; Dipodascaceae
Description: partial 28S ribosomal RNA
Rfam family: Eukaryotic large subunit ribosomal RNA
Source: RNAcentral
CCCGCUGAACUUAAGCAUAUCAAUAAGCGGAGGAAAAGAAACCAACAGGGAUUGCCUUAGUAACGGCGAGUGAAGCGGCAAAAGCUC